UUCCUGAGUUUGUGAUCGGAAAGGGCGCAUCUUUUCACAAAGGAGCAUUUCCAUGUCUUUAUCUGUUGAGCAGAAGGCCAAGAUCGUUACUGAGUUCGCACGCGGCGA
This 108-nucleotide non-coding RNA is filed under the name Anaerobiospirillum succiniciproducens. Its description in RNAcentral is "Ribosomal S15 leader". It matches the Rfam family "Ribosomal S15 leader". Rfam says of the family: The E. coli Ribosomal S15 gene 5' UTR can form two alternative structures. Lineage: Bacteria; Pseudomonadati; Pseudomonadota; Gammaproteobacteria; Aeromonadales; Succinivibrionaceae. The record is from RNAcentral.